This 514-nucleotide ribosomal RNA is filed under the name uncultured bacterium. Its description in RNAcentral is "bacterial SSU rRNA". It matches the Rfam family "Bacterial small subunit ribosomal RNA", at positions 15 to 518 of the family's 1533-position model. The record is from RNAcentral.
GAUCCUGGCUCAGGAUGAACGCUAGCGACAGGCUUAACACAUGCAAGGUCGAGGGGCAGCACGGGAGUAGCAAUACAACUGGUGGCGACCGGCGCACGGGUGAGUAACGCGUAUGCAACCUACCUAUCAGAGGGGAAUAACCCGGCGAAAGUCGGACUAAUACCGCAUAAAACAGGGGCACCGCAUGGUGAUAUUUGUUAAAGAGAUUCGCUGAUAGAUGGGCAUGCGUUCCAUUAGGUAGUCGGUGAGGUAACGGCUCACCAAGCCGACGAUGGAUAGGGGAACUGAGAGGUUGGUCCCCCACACUGGUACUGAGACACGGACCAGACUCCUACGGGAGGCAGCAGUGAGGAAUAUUGGUCAAUGGGCGGGAGCCUGAACCAGCCAAGUCGCCGUGAAGGAAGAAGGAUCUAUGGUUCGUAAACUUCUUUUGCAGGGGAAUAGAGUGCAGGACGUGUCCUGUUUUGUAUGUACCCUGAGAGUAAGGAUCGGCUAACUCCGUGCCAGCCGCCGC